This 620-nucleotide long non-coding RNA is filed under the name Struthio camelus australis. RNAcentral's name for it is "lncRNA (ENSSCUG00000009357.1)". Lineage: Eukaryota; Metazoa; Chordata; Aves; Struthioniformes; Struthionidae. The record is from RNAcentral.
CCGGGCCCGGGCCCGUCCCGUUUCCCUCGGCCGGGGACGUUCCGGUAAGGAACAGCGGAAAGAGGGUAUAGCGAUGGCAACGAGACGGUAACCGAUAAAACGCCGAGAGGUGACCGUGUUCGCCGCCUGGAAAAGCACCACCAACACAAAACACGUGCUGGCCCGCGACGCAGAGGGCGGCCCGCCCGUUUCGGAACAGAUCUCGGCUAGGAGGGAAAGAAUGAUACGUUUUAAGAAGUUUUUGACAGGAGCCUACGUAGAGCUGUUUGUAUGAGUCUCUGAGGGUGCAAGUUCAACCAAUGCUGCAACCAGACAGACUGGAUCCUGUGAACUAAGAAGAAACGUCUUCAAAAGGUGUAGUAGACACUUUAUAUGCAAGCCUGGUCUUACUCCUAUUUCUACUUCCCUUGGAAAAGAAAACAUGUUUCAUCCCUUCCCAUCUCAGUUUUCCCACAGAAAUGAGAAAAGCACAAAGUAAAAUUCUGACCAAUCUUUACAAAGCAUAAGACUUAAAAUUCUCCCUGCAGCCUGGUAAAUGAACUGUCAACAUCUCUCCUGAGGAAGAAUCUUUUUGAGAACCACCCUUUUACCAGGCAAGGGACACUGCAACCAUUAUAAAG